This 74-nucleotide transfer RNA is filed under the name Spirochaetales bacterium. RNAcentral's name for it is "tRNA-Arg". It matches the Rfam family "tRNA". From Rfam's summary of the family: Transfer RNA (tRNA) molecules are approximately 80 nucleotides in length. Lineage: Bacteria; Pseudomonadati; Spirochaetota; Spirochaetia; Spirochaetales. The record is from RNAcentral. RNAcentral also lists the same sequence under 1 other name.
GCACCCGUAGCUCAAGUGGAUAGAGCAUCAGAUUGCGGAUCUGAGGGCUGGGUGUUCGACUCACCCCGGGUGCG